GACGAACGCUGGCGGCGUGCUUAACACAUGCAAGUCGAACGAUGAAGCCGGAGCUUGCUCUGGUGAAUUAGUGGCGAACGGGUGAGUAACACGUGAGUAACCUGCCCUUGACUCUGGGAUAACUGCUAGAAAUGGUAGCUAAUACCGGAUACGACCCUCGGCGGCAUCGCCAGGGGGUGGAAAGAAUUUCGGUCAAGGAUGGACUCGCGGCCUAUCAGCUAGUUGGUGAGGUAACGGCUCACCAAGGCGACGACGGGUAGCCGGCCUGAGAGGGUAAGCGGCCACACUGGGACUGAGACACGGCCCAGACUCCUACGGGAGGCAGCAGUGGGGAAUAUUGCACAAUGGGCGCAAGCCUGAUGCAGCAACGCCGCGUGAGGGAUGACGGCCUUCGGGUUGUAAACCUCUUUUAGUAGGGAAGAAGCGAAAGUGACGGUACCUGCAGAAAAAGCACCGGCUAACUACGUGCCAGCCGCCGCAGUAA
This 484-nucleotide ribosomal RNA is filed under the name uncultured bacterium. Its description in RNAcentral is "partial 16S ribosomal RNA". It matches the Rfam family "Bacterial small subunit ribosomal RNA", at positions 28 to 523 of the family's 1533-position model. The record is from RNAcentral.